Molecule: long non-coding RNA, 8583 nt
Filed under: Carica papaya (papaya)
Lineage: Eukaryota; Viridiplantae; Streptophyta; Magnoliopsida; Brassicales; Caricaceae
Description: long non-coding RNA (CPAP_LNC007269)
Source: RNAcentral
UCGGCAAAUCGACGCACGUCGCGUGGUAACUCCCUGCUGACAUUAGCACCACACGGGAAGCCAUGCGAGCGAUCUGCGUGCCUAACAAUCUGACAAUCCAGAUCUCAUUCCACUCGAGUGAAUAGUUCAGAUGCGUUCUCUCUUUAAACCCGAUCAGACAGAUGAGAUGGAUCGGUCAUCCUCGUUUCACGUCAACACAAACGGACGGCUCAAAUUGAAGAGGAAAUUUUAUUUAAACUCCUCAUCACAGGAGAACCUAACCUAGCCACCAGUCCCCGUUGAAGAAGAAGAACCAGAUGCUGGAGAAGAAGAUCGGCCCCUGGCUACCGCCGCACCGGAGCCACCAUUGAUCGCCAAAAAAGGUAAUUUUUUCCUUUCCCACUCAAAAUUCGAUUCCGAGGUUCUCUCUGGCCAUAUCCGAGUAAAAGAAAUGGUGGGUAAGCCGAAAAAUGUCGACAAAGCCCGACGGAGUCACGGCAGCCAAAAUCCUAAACCCCCUCUGAUGAGCCCAUUCUCAUUUUUUGUUUCACACGAUUCUUUGAGCAUUGUGUUUACUGUCUCUUUCUGUGCAGAUUAGCAAAAGAAGAAAUCCUAGCGAAGGAGAACCAGCGGAGCCACUGCAUUCAGAGAGUCCCCACCGGUAUGUUUAGUUUUUUAGUUUUUCUGGCCAACUGAGACUUCUUAAUGUAUUUUUUUGUAAGGAUACGUAUAAAACUAGCUAAAUCCAGCUAAAACUAGCCAGAUCGAGGCAAACUACUGCCAUGGGUGGCGAAGCCGGCAUUGGAGCAUGGCGGUGUCGCCGUGCCGGAACCCUAAAAUUGGUCAGAAAUGAUUUUCAAUGCCGAUUUUAGAUUUUGGGGUAUCUUUAGGUACAUGAUGAAUAUUUUAAUUCCCGCAGCAAAAAUUUGAGGCCCACCAAGAGGCGUAGUGAGUAGCACAAUAUUUCGAAACACCGAUCCUGAUAAGGAUCCUUCACCAUAUUUUCUGUUACGGUAAAUUGAGACUUAAUAAUUAAUAAUUUUAUAUUUUAUGAAAAUAAAAAAAAAUCAUAAUAAUAAUUACAUGUCGCUAGUGGAGUCGAAAUCAAUCAGUAUACGAUUGCUCUAAUUUACUAUCAUUUUCUCCUGUAUUGCUUAAAAUAUUUACUAUUGAAUUAUGUGCAUUAAAUUGUUAAUUUGAAUUGUGUCCUCGAUUAUCUGGUUUAUUUAAUUUUUUAUGUACUAUUUAUUUAUUUAUUUAGUUAUUUGCUUACUCGAUUAUGAUAAACUAUGUUUGCUUACUUAGAUGCUUUUUAGGUUAAUCUAUAAAUACGGAAUAAAAUGUUGGUAUCCGAUUGGUAGUUGUUUGGAUGAUGAGAAUAUAUACAUAUUAAAACUUAUUAAGCAUCCUGGGAAAGGAUGGACAGAUUCGAUACAUAGAAAAUCUUAUUGUGAACAUUAUCUAAAUUGGAUGUGGCUGAAAAAUCCCAUACCAGAAGGGUUUAGGAGAUAUGGUUCACUUUCAUACUGAACGGGGUAUCGAGACGAUGGUAUGUUUGGUGUCCAUUACCAAAUGGAGUAUUAGGACGACUGAGUUAAUUGUCAAUCUAAAUAUUAGGUUCACGAGUAAGGGGAUAUCUCUAUAAACUCCCAGGGGUCCUGGUAAAUAAGUUAGAAUGAAGAAUUACUUAUUUUAUGCACUAAAUUAAAAUAUCACUUGGUUUCUUAUUUUCAUAUGUUGUUUUCAAAAAAACUCAUAAUAUCAAGUAUGAAAUAAAACGUUUUAGAGUUAAAUGUAUUCACUUAAAUCAAUAGCUUCAUUAGUUAUUUUGUAAUUUCUACUAACUUUAGAUUUUUCAUAUAAGUGAUUAAUGUGAUAUUCUUACUGGAGUAGUGUAGCUCACCCUUUUAUUAACCAUUUUAGAUCAAGAAUAUCAAGAUUCAGAUCUCGAUCAGUGAGAGAGUUGUGAGUAGUUCACCUCUCGAACUCCCUUUACGUGCUAGAUGAGGUUAACUUCUAGGAUAUUUAUUUAUUUAUUUUUAAUUAUCGUUUAUCUUUUUUUACGAACUAAUGUAGAAUAGAUAUUCUCGUAACUAUAUUGGGCAUUCCAAUUCACUGUGUAAGAAGUGUAAACUCUAUUUAUUAUUCAUUUUCGUAUUUAAAUAAUAUAUCAUUUUUUUUAGUUUCAGACUUUUACAUUAUAUAUGCAUAUACAAGCUAGUAACUCCACCUUUUAAAAUUGGUUAAAAUAAAAUCAAUUUAUCAUGAUUUACUAAUAUAUUAAUAAAUUAAGUUUUAAUCAUGCUGAAUUAAAUAUUACGAGAUAACACCAAUCUAUAAUAUAUUUAUAAAGUGAUGAAUUCUAUCUGUACAAAUAUACAUGCCCGUAUAAACAUUUAUGUUAUAUAUACAUAUACAAGCUAGUAACUCCACAUGUUAUGAUUAGUUAGGAUAAAAUUAACUUAUCACGAUUUACUAAAAUAUUAAUAAAUUAAGUUUUAAUCUCGUUAAAUCAAAUAUUAUUAUGAGAUAGUAAUCGUCAACACGUACCGUAUUCAUAACUUAUAUGAUUGUGUGUGUGUGUGUGUGUAUAUGUAUAUAUAUGUAUAUACAUAUGUUGGCUAUUGCAUGUAUUUAGGGAGAAGAGUCAGAAUUAAAAAGUCAAUAUUAGAAAGUAUCUAUUGUGGGGGGUAGUAAGUUAUUAUAAUUUUUCUUUCACCUUUCCCUUUCUACUUUUCAUUUAUACAUAUAUAUAUACGCGCGCGCACACACACACACACACACAUAUAAAUAUAUAUAUAUAUGUAUAGAUAUAUAUAUAUACACACACACGCGCACAUGAGGAUAUGAUCCUUCUAGGAAGCUGGUGAAAGUGCUCUUUUUGAAAGGAAAAGGUUCCUGGAUCAACUUAUUUUCUUCUGAAGAAAAAAAAAAUAAAAAAAAAAAUUCGUAAAUUGGAUUUAAAAUAAAGUUAAAAUUGGGAAAUUCUCAUUUUACAAAAUGUGGGCCCUACAGGCUAUAACAUGGGCCCAAUGGGCCCCACAGCCUCAGCCCCUAAAGCAUCCAUCCAAACCACUUGUUCGGGCCCAUUGUUUUUUUUUUAAAAUUAAUUAAAGAAAAACCAUUCGAAUUUGGGAUUAUAAAAUAUUUUUUAAUUAAAAUUAAUUAUACGUUAUUGCGUAUAUAAUAUAUUUUCAAGUAAAAUAUUAUACGUAUAAAUAUAAUUAGACGUGCGUCAUGGUACAGAAUUAUGACGUCAACGAAGAAAAUAUAAAAAAUAAUUAAUUAAUUUUAAAAAAUUAAAUAAUUAAUUGAAAUUAGGAAGCUGAAAAUUGCAUGGAAUCUCUGCGAAGUACUUUUUAGAGAGUUGUCCGUGUGGGUUUUGCUCCUAAUUAUGAUAUAGUGUUCUUUCUUAUGGAUGUGGGUUCAUUUCUCUCUAGCUUUACUUGUAUGUAUGUAUAUAUAUAUAUAUAUAUAUAUAUAUAUAUGUAUAUAUAUGUGUGUUUGUAUAUAUAUAGAUACGCAUAAAGACACUAAAGGAUAUACACGCACUCACAAAUAGGACAGACCCACACACACAUAUUUUUUGAAAAAAACAUAAAGGUGUAUAUACACCCAUAUAAAUAUAUAUGUCAAUUGAUUUGAUUUUCAGAAAUUGACAUCAAUUUUUGACUUAAAAAAAUUCGUUAUCUCCCUUUUUUUUUUCUAGAAAAAAUACAUAUUCAUCAAUUAAAUUAUAUAUAUAUAUAUACACACACACUAAUUAUAAAAUAAUAUUUAAAUAAAAAUACAUAUAAAAAUACAAUCAUGUAAAAUAAAUAUUCAAAUUGAACCUUCACCAAAUAUUAACCUAAAAUUCGAAUUCUAAUAUUAUUAGGUGAUUUAAUUUAAAUUAAUUUAUGUAAAAUAAAAAUUAGAAAAUACUAAUAGAUUAUGCGUCAAAAAAAAUAUAAAAACAAUGUCAUAAAGUUAGUCGUAUUAAAUCUCUCUCUGAAAUUAUGGCAUAUGAUGUGUGUGUGUGUGUAUAUAUAUGUUGUAUAUAUAUAUUAUAUAUAUAUAUAUGUAUAAGCAAAGAUACCCAAUACCUACAACUUGGAGAGAAUCCCCAUGCACAAUAAUAAAGCCACGUAGCUUUAACAGAAGAGAAUGGAUCAUGAAUAAAGCAUAAAUUUAUAUGUAUAUGAGCACACGGAUAAUCACCAUCAUCAUCAUACAAAAAGAUAAUUAUAUCUAUACAGUGUAGGCAUUUUAAUGUUGUAUAUCUGCAUCAUACACACACACACACACACACACGUAUAUAUAUAUAUAUGUGUGUGUGUGUGUGUGUUAUCAAAUGAUGUAUCAUCAGAUGGAACUGUGUGAUUAUGUCAAUCGGGACCUCUGAAACAAAGUUGUCUCAGCACCUACCUCAAAAUCUCAUCCUUACACUUUAUAUUUAUAUUCCUCAAACAUAUAAAUUUUUUUAGUUUUAUAUUUAUGGAAUCAUUGAUAUUUUAAUAUUUAUAUGUAUUUAUACAGUAUUAUUAUAUUAUUAUUAAAUAAUUUAAUUUAAUUUAAUGGGGUACGUAAUGGCAUGGUCAUAAUUUCACUGAAAAACAAGUGUCCGAUAUUAAUUUUGAGUGUCCUUCGCUGGCUAGCUUUUAUUAUCAUGACGUCUCUCUAUAUAUAUAUAUAUAUAUGUCUGCUUGAAUGUAUGUAUACAUAUAUAUUAUUCCUUUAACAUCUUGUUGUCCCUUAGGUCUUAUUUGGCAUAUAUAUUCCUUUAAUUGAAGUAAUCUUUUCUCUAAUGAAAAUUGGAAAUUUUAACAUUAAUAAAGUUUUUUUCUUGCUUUUCAGAAUAUAUAUAUAUAUAUAUACCAAUUAAUAUAUAAUUUAAACAUUAGAUGGUUAUAGUUUUUGAUUAAAAAAAAAAUUUCUUUAGAUGCUAGAAUGGUUAUGUAUGUAUCUAUGUAUGUCAGUAUGUAUGUAUGUAUGUAUGUAUAAAAGCCAUGGAUGUAUUAUUUAUAUAUAUACACAUAUAUGUUGUACGUGAAAAGCUAGUGAUUCGAGCCAAGGGAGACAAAGCUGUCUCCUCUGUGUUGGAAGAUGAACAGAGAAGAGAAAAAAAAUAUAUAUAUAUGUAUGUACUAAAAUUCUCUCUUACAGUCAGAUAUGUUUUGUCUACAAUAAACACAAGAUUGAUCGUGGAAAGCUGUAUAUAUAAAUAAUGUCUGCAUAUAAAUAUUAUAAAAAUAUAAUGAACAGAUAUAUAUAUAUAUAUAUAUAAUGUAUAGUAAUAACUAAUCUGAAGUGAAAAGAGGAGGAAUUAAACUAAAGAAAGAAGCCUUGGGAUUUUAAGUGGAAAAGGCUGAGUUCAACUGUUUAGGCAGGUAAUGGAAUACCGAGUACUACUGUGUUUAACCCCUGCAGCCCGUUCUUGAUCCUCUCAUAUAUACAUACAUAUAUAUAUAUAUAUACACACUCUAUAUAAUGAAUUAUAUACGGGUAUUAACUGCAGCUCAUGACCCAUAUACAAAGUUCUUGCCUUUAAAAAGUUUGCUCUCGAAAUUAAUUAACUCCCAAAUUUCAUCUCGUGUAGUAAACUUAGUUAAGAUGUUGCAGAGAUUUUUAUAUUGGGGUAUCAUAUAUAUAUUAAUAUGUGUGCAUGUAAAGUACAUAAAUGCAAUAAGUUUAUAUACGUAGGUAGGAAAUUAAUGUUGAAAAAGUAGGUAGGUGUUAAAUAUUCCUAGCAUUUUAUACAUGAUGUAGUAUAAAACUCCAUGCAGUGAAAAGGGUAGGUACAUAUAUAUAUAUAUAUAUAUAGUGGUUUGAUAACAUAAGGGAAAGAAGAGUAGGGCAAAAUUAAAGGGGUAAAUUUGGUGGUAGGCCUGGUCUCUCCAGCAAAAGGGUACCUUAGUUCAUCAUAAAUAAAUUCACCCCAACUUCUCAUUAUUCGUAUACAUCUACGUAUGAUAUAUGGAUGUUUCAUAAUGUAUCGUAGAAAGUAUAUGUAUAUAUAUAUAUAUAUAUGUGUGUGUGUGUGUGUGUCUGUGAUGACUAACCCUCACACGGUCAACCAACUAAACAUUUUACCUUUUGUUCGAUGGGUUUUAAGAGCAUGUACGUAUAUAUAUAUAUGUAUGUAUGUAUGUAUGUAUCUAUGUAUGUAUAGUUGCUGUUAGUGUUUUGAGUAAUUAGAAGAAGAAUGGGAUUGGGAGGCGGUCAAAGGGUCCAUGAGACGUCGUUUCAAUGAACAGUAGAAUGGAUGAGAGAGAAGAGUAAGCGUAGUAGUACUGUAGUUGGCAUCAGUGUAUGUUGCAAUUUUCCCCAACCACUUGGGGCUCCACAUUUAAGCACUUCGUUUUUUAGCCCAUCCCUUUCUUUCUCCCUCCAAAACAAAGCUGCCAACAAGAUCCACUACAUUUAUAUCUCUCAUCAACACUACUACAUACAUACAUACACACACACACACAUGUAUGUAUAUAUAUAUACACACACACACCCAUUAGCACAGAGCUUUAUGGGUUAACUUCAUAUAAUUUUAUUUAAAACCAUAAGUAUCAAAUAUUUGAUUCAGUAGGUUUAGAGUUUAACAUGUUAAUGUUUUAAACUUUAUUUGCAACAAAAUUUAUGAGUUACAUAGAAAUUCAUACAUAUAUGCAUACAUUUUAGCAUUGUAAGUGUGUGUGUGUGUGUAUAUAUAUAUAAUAUUCAAACAUGUGGGUAUAUAUGUAAUAUAGUGAGAAGGUAAAAGCUAAUGAUUUGGUUUGAAUUAGUUCAAGUAAUUAUAGUGAAUCUCUUCAUAUGGUAUAUGUUCCAUCUAUCAACAAACAUCCCUCCACUAAGCAAAGCAAUAAAAGGGCAUCAUAUGCACCCUUCAAAAAGCUGAUGUAUUUGCAGCAUGAAAAGCCUAUUUCACAACUAUCUACAAAUUCAUUCCCACAUCAACAAAAUGAAUAUAAUUAUUAUGUAUACAUAUACAUUAUCUGUCCUGUCUUAUAUAUAUAUAUAUAUAUUCAUUGAUCAUGAGCUUUUUCUUUUAAUUUCUUUUGAUUCUUUUGUUGGGAUCAUAGCCAUAUAUCUAUAUAUAUAUAUAUAUAUGAUUCUCAAGUACUUAUAUAAUUCAUUGUAUGUAUAUCAUGAGUGUUGGAGGCAGAGAUUUGGUGAACACCCAAAGAUGAAGAUCUAUUCAAAGUGAAAAAGAAAUAAUUCAAUUAUUAAAGCUAUAAGCUAAAAGCCAACAUCCCCAUAAAAACUUAAAAAAAGUGCUUCUUAAGAUAUUCCCCUCCCUUUAAAACUCUUUUCUUAUGUUAACACAUGUGCACUUAAUUACUUGGAUUUAUAAUGGCUUUCACAUUUUAAUAAUUACAUAUGUAUAAGAUUCUUCAUGCUUUAUCAUCACAAAUAUUAUUUAUCUUAUUAUAUACAUAUAUAUAUAUACAUACAUACAUUUUUAUUACAAUGGUAUAUUCAUAAAUUUAUUUUAUACAUUUUUCUUAUGAAAAAAAUAAUUAUUAAUUAAGUAGUAAUUACUACUUAUUCUUUUGAGAAUAUAAAACUUCACUCAUCAUUUGCAUAAUAAAGGUCUUUUGCGUUGGAUUAGGUAUCAAUAUCUAUAGGUAGGAAUCACCAUAAUUAUCCUCAAAAUAAGGUGUAAUUAUACACACACACACACAACUAUGGUAGCUCCUAUGUAUACACACACACACACACACACACACACAUAUAUAUAUAUAGAUAUACAUAACAUAUACAUACGUGUAUUUGGAUAUAAAUGAGCUUGCCUAGCUCGCAUCUAAGCAUUGUGUUUUGGGAUAUAUCUUUAAUACUAAUGAAUAGAUAUGAGUUACUAGAUAUAUAAAAUAUAUAUAUAUAUAUCUUAAUUACAUAAUAAAUAAAUAUAAAAUGAUACUAUAUGUAUAUAUUUAUAUUAGUAAUUAAUAUCAUAGAAUUUUAAAUUUUUCUAAUAAACAACAAUAAUACAAAAUGUUUAAAUCGAAAUAAAAAUCAAACAAGAGAUUAGUAAAUAAGGACCAAAAGUCAACUACUUAUAAGACCGGCUCUAUCCAUAAUUAUAUGUUUUCUUACUAAUUAAGAAAUUAAACUCGAUCAUCAACAUCAUAAUCAGCCUAUCAAUCCAAAAGAUUUCAACUAGUACUCAGUACUUAUAACUAGAGAUUAUAUAUGCAUGAAUAUAAUUAGCUAAAUUAAUCCAAUUAAUCUACCUACUUUGACUGCAUGGACGAGUCAUUAUCUUGUUCGACUUCGGAAGCAGGGUCAUCUUCUUCCUCAAACCCAUCCAUCCCAUAAGCUCCAUGGCCAUUUCCGAAAGCUCUGAUGUGAUCUUUAAGCGAUCUCUUGUGCUUGAAAUCAGACCCACAUAUACAAUACCAGAGCUUCCCACAGUUCUUCUCGUGGGUUCUCCAGUCUCCCCUUACCGCAAAAGCCUUGCCGCAUUUUCUGCACAUGAAGGGUUUGAUUCCAUGCUUUCUCUUGUAAUGGGUUUGCAGAGUUCUGAAAUCUUUGAGAGGCUUGGCUCGAGGAUGGUCGAUGUUGUUUCUGCAACCUGGCGCACAGCAGUAGCAUGGAAGCCGCAGCAUACCCGUCGGCUGGGUGCCUCGUAAU